AUCCAAAAUAUAUCAUUUAAAUGCAUUAAGUUUUCAUUAAUGUCUUAAUUGUUCAGUAUAAUGAAGAACUACUCUUGUUUCAAAUACACAUAUUUCUACCUAAACUGGGUUUAUGAUGAUUUAUAGGGCAGUACAACGUAUGGAAGCUAUCAUCAAAAGUAAGGAUGAUUCACAAAACUUAAUUUUCAUUUCUGCAACCUGAAAACACAAGUCUAGCAAGGAGAAUGUUUCCUAAUAUGAGUUAGAAGAGAAGUUCAUGUCAUGGAAGCUUACCAACAAUGAGUACACAGCUCAUGAUAUUUAACUGUGACAUGAGGGAAAGCAGUCAUAUACAAGUAAUACAUCAUCAGUAGCAGAUGAAGAGACUAUCAGUGGUAUCUAGCAUUAUAAAAAGAUUUUGUGGGCCACAGCUGGAGAAAGGGGAAAGGAGCCACGCUGUGUCAAAACAAGGCAACUUUUGAAGAACAUUGCAGGAAACACAAAGUGCAAAGGUCCUGACCUGACAUGGACCUUUGACCGUCGCAGUGCUAACACAAGAGCUCACUUAUCAGAUCCGAGUGCCUUGGAAACCCAAAGACAGCUGGCACUUACAGAGAAUAGGAGGUUAGUAAAAUGAAUGAUGUUGUACUGAAAUGCACAAGGUAAAUAUUUUGAUAUGUUAGAAGAGCAUAUAUACCCUUAAACCUCAUCCAUAUGGACACCACAUACACAUGGGGCUUGAGCCAGAAAAG
This 731-nucleotide long non-coding RNA is filed under the name Anser brachyrhynchus (Pink-footed goose). RNAcentral describes it as "lncRNA (ENSABRG00000020050.1)". The record is from RNAcentral. Lineage: Eukaryota; Metazoa; Chordata; Aves; Anseriformes; Anatidae.